AACUGAUACUACCUGCGGGAACCUGCGGAAGGAUCAUUACAUGAUUUGAGGGGGCUCACGUCCCCUCAUCCAACCCACAAACCCCGAGGAACUUUUAUGUCGAGUGGUUCGGCGCUCUCUUUGAGAGCCGCCCCUCAAACGCAUCGCAGGCUUUUCGUGAAGGUCUGAUGUGUCACAUCGUGAGUAUUAAAACUUUUAGCAAUGGAUCUCU
Molecule: unclassified non-coding RNA, 211 nt
Filed under: soil metagenome
Description: partial contains 5.8S ribosomal RNA, internal transcribed spacer 2, and large subunit ribosomal RNA
Source: RNAcentral